AUGGGAACGCGAAGAACCUUACCUAGACUUGACAUCCCCUGAAUAACGUAGAGAUACGCGAAGCCCUUCGGGGCAGGGAGACAGGUGGUGCAUGGUUGUCGUCAGCUCGUGUCGUGAGAUGUUGGGUUAAGUCCCGCAACGAGCGCAACCCUUAUCAUUAGUUGCUACCAUUUAGUUGAGCACUCUAGUGAGACUGCCUGGGUUAACCAGGAGGAAGGUGGGGAUGACGUCAAAUCAUCAUGCCCCUUAUGUCUAGGGCUACACACGUGCUACAAUGGUGGGAACAAAGAGAUGCAAUACCGCAAGGUGGAGCUAAACUCAAAACCCCAUCCCAGUUCGGAUUGUAGGCUGAAACUCGCCUACAUGAAGCUGGAGUUGCUAGUAAUCGCGAAUCAGAAUGUCGCGGUGAAUACGUUCCCGGGUCUUGUACACACCG
RNAcentral lists this ribosomal RNA (436 nucleotides) under uncultured bacterium. RNAcentral's name for it is "bacterial SSU rRNA". It matches the Rfam family "Bacterial small subunit ribosomal RNA", at positions 954 to 1392 of the family's 1533-position model. The record is from RNAcentral.